This 73-nucleotide transfer RNA is filed under the name Mytilus galloprovincialis (Mediterranean mussel). It matches the Rfam family "tRNA". From Rfam's summary of the family: Transfer RNA (tRNA) molecules are approximately 80 nucleotides in length. Their secondary structure includes four short double-helical elements and three loops (D, anti-codon, and T loops). Further hydrogen bonds mediate the characteristic L-shaped molecular structure. tRNAs have two regions of fundamental functional importance: the anti-codon, which is responsible for specific mRNA codon recognition, and the 3' end, to which the tRNAs corresponding amino acid is attached (by aminoacyl-tRNA synthetases). tRNAs cope with the degeneracy of the genetic code in two manners: having more than one tRNA (with a specific anti-codon) for a particular amino acid; and 'wobble' base-pairing, i.e. permitting non-standard base-pairing at the 3rd anti-codon position. The record is from Rfam by way of RNAcentral. Lineage: Eukaryota; Metazoa; Mollusca; Bivalvia; Mytilida; Mytilidae.
GUCCGCGUAGUGCAAGGGAUAACGCGCUGGACUUUUAAGCCAGAGGUCGUCGGUUCGAAUCCCACCGAGGAUG